AAAUGGAGGUGAUAGUGGAAUGGUGUUCUAGGAUCUUCUACAUAUCCCGCGUGGAAAAGCGAGAGGUCUCUCUAUGCUUUGCCCGCCACCUGCCGUCCAAUAACGAAGCAGCCUGUGUGCAUCCCUUCUUCAACUUUGACCACUCUACUUUACUAUCCAUAUUCUAAAUCUCAAGAGCACCCAUAAACCUUUACCCUUUGACCCCACCUCGAUUAUUCUUAAUCAUACCUUUAUUUACUUACUUUACUAAAUUAUUUUAAAUCAUACCAGUUUUU
Molecule: long non-coding RNA, 275 nt
Filed under: Cucumis sativus (cucumber)
Lineage: Eukaryota; Viridiplantae; Streptophyta; Magnoliopsida; Cucurbitales; Cucurbitaceae
Description: long non-coding RNA (CSAT_LNC002205)
Source: RNAcentral